GCGUGUGUGAUCUAUUUUUAGAUAGACUGUUUUCUUUUUUUUUCUUGAAGAUUUUCUCCUUCAGUGUUACAUCAAACUCAAAAAGAAAGUGCACGCUGGAUCGCGACGCUUUUGCGAGAGGCGUUGCUAAGCAACGGAUGACGUCAUGUCCAUCUAGCGGUGAAUCACGCAAGUGCCAGAAUCCUCCGAAGCCGGAUCGGCCUCGUGGUUAUUCACGUCCUUCGAAACCCACCACCGCCGAGAUGGUUUCAACUCCCAUUCUUUCUCACAACCACUUUAUGUACUAG
Molecule: non-coding RNA, 287 nt
Organism: Onthophagus taurus
Lineage: Eukaryota; Metazoa; Arthropoda; Insecta; Coleoptera; Scarabaeidae
Source: RefSeq, a predicted model, not a curated record